UGCAAGGAGCUGUCACCAUCGUCAAGAUGGAGUAAGGCAAUCUCCAUAUUCGAACAUGAUGAACGUUUUAAAGCUGUUGAGCAAGCUAAAGACCGUGAGGACCUUUUUGAAGAUUAUGUGGAGGAACUUGAGAAAAAGGAGCAUGCGAAGGCAUGGGUGGAGCAGAAGCGCAAUAGAGUGGAGUACUUAGAAUUUUUAAAAUCCUG
This is a long non-coding RNA of Capsicum annuum, 206 nucleotides long. RefSeq lists it as uncharacterized. The transcript has 3 exons. The record is from RefSeq and is a predicted model, not a curated record. Lineage: Eukaryota; Viridiplantae; Streptophyta; Magnoliopsida; Solanales; Solanaceae.